UACAGAGGGGGCAAGCGUUAUUCGGAAUUAUUGGGCGUAAAGGGCGCGUAGGCGGCGAUUCAAGUGACGGGUGAAAUCCCUCGGCUUAACCGAGGAACUGCCUGUCAGACUGGAUUGCUUGAGGCCGGGAGAGGCGAGUGGAAUUCCCAGUGUAGCGGUGAAAUGCGUAGAUAUUGGGAAGAACACCGGUGGCGUAAGCGGCUUGCUGGGCUUUAACUGACACUGAGGAACGAAAGCUAGGGGAGCGAAUGGG
This 253-nucleotide ribosomal RNA is filed under the name uncultured bacterium. RNAcentral's name for it is "partial 16S ribosomal RNA". It matches the Rfam family "Bacterial small subunit ribosomal RNA", at positions 524 to 776 of the family's 1533-position model. The record is from RNAcentral.